Molecule: long non-coding RNA, 288 nt
Filed under: Ananas comosus (pineapple)
Lineage: Eukaryota; Viridiplantae; Streptophyta; Magnoliopsida; Poales; Bromeliaceae
Description: long non-coding RNA (ACOM_LNC039280)
Source: RNAcentral
AAAUACUUAACUCUAGUUAGUUAAUGAGGUGAAUUAAACUUUUUACCCUUCUUCAGUUAACCGUUGGGAUUUUCAGAGGGGCAUAUUUGUCAUGGCAAAAAUGUCAUUUUACUUAUUGUUGGGAUCAAAAAAUUUUGAAAUUUGAAAUUCAAAUUGAGAAUAUAUAUGGAAGGGAAUUGAUGUGAUUAAUGGUUGCCUUAGAUGACCAACUAUUAAAAGGAAAAGAAUUAAAAAUAUAUUGUUGCCUUCUUUUCAAAUUCUUUUGAAUUAUUUUCCUAAACAAAGAGG